Molecule: long non-coding RNA, 4101 nt
Organism: Triticum aestivum (bread wheat)
Lineage: Eukaryota; Viridiplantae; Streptophyta; Magnoliopsida; Poales; Poaceae
Exons: 2
Source: RefSeq, a predicted model, not a curated record
ACGCCAUCCGGCUCUCGCGUCGGCCGCCACCAGCGCGGCUCCGACCUUGUCUACCCUGUUGACCCCGCAACACCUCCUCGCCGUUCCAUCCCUGCGACUAACCCUAGCCGCCGACUUGUGCUGCGAGAAGUGAGGAGGGGAGUGGGGAGGCCGCGUCGCUGAGUGGGUGGAGCGGCUGUGGGAGGCCCCCGACUCGUGGAACGAUGACGCCGCCGCCAUUGCGGAACCCCGUGGCAGGGCGUUGCUACCUUGCGGCAGCGAGGAGCGGCGCAAGGCCAUGCCCUGCAUCGAGGAGGAACAUCGCCUUUGCCCCGAUCUGGAUCCGUUCCCGUCGCUAGAUCAAUGGAGGGGGACCUCCACCUUCGUCGUUCUUCUCCCUCUCCGACCUCCCGUAGUCGUGCUCCACGGAUCUGGCCGUGGACACAACCGACGCAGCUUCCCUGGCCACCACCAACGACGCCAGCGAGGUGGACAUGGUUGUCGCCGCUGAAUCCAUGGAGGAGCUCACCCCGGCCUUCUCCUCGUUUUCCUCCACGGCCGCGUCUCCUGAUCCCUGGUGGUGGUUUGCUACGGGUAACGACGGGCAAUGCAAGGUGAUCGAUUCAUGGAGUUUCUGGUGAAAAUCAGACAUUAGCCCAAUCUGUUGGAUAAUAUUCCUGUGGCCUCGAUCAAAAUGUAAGUGUUGUACUCUUGUAGAACAAUAUUAAGAGGAUGUGAUAUCAGCUAGCUGAAUUAUUUCUAACUCCUGCAUAAAAGGAUUUAAGUUGCCAUCCAAAUGAUCGAAACACAAAUGAGCCUGUAAUAUCAUAAUCAAUUUGUCUCUCCGGUACAUGGUUAUCGACGUGUAGAUUUUUGGUAAGCUUAUACUGUCGAUCUUCUGGUAAGGUGACCCUGUCAAUACUAAUACCAGUUUUGUGUGUGCAUGCAUGUUCUUGUCAUCUCAACUAAAUCUGGGUGGCCAAGUAUGCAUGCAGUUUAAACACUUCCUAUAAUUAUGAGUGCAUGCAUGCAUGUGAUUUUCUACACUAUGUGUCACACACCCAGACUUUACGAAAAUGUGAUCUAUUUUCAGGCAAGCAACGGCAGGCGUAGUUUAGACACUUCCUAUAAUUAUGCUUCUCUCAACUGCUCGUUUCUCCUCCGUGGGUCAGAGCAUUUAGAUGGCCAGUGGUGUUCAUGGCGGAUCGACGGAGGGUGCCUUUCCUUUGCAGAAUUGAGCGCAGGUUCCUUAUCAUAGUACAGACAUUUUGAAAACAUUAUGUUUCCUGCCAGCACAUUACUUGAGGUAUAAUUAUACUAUGCAUAUUUAGCAGAUACUAUAUACUGUUUGAGUAAUAAAAAUUUCAUACUUCAAAUUACAUAUCAGCUUUAGAUUGUUUCCUUAAAAACUAAGAGAUCUUUAUUUUGACGAAAAUGCAAGAUUGACUUUUCAUUCAUGAAGGUAUGGUGUGUCUCAAAAAUACGUGAAUUGUAUGCAUACAACGGGCCACAAGGACCAAAAAACUCUAAUCCGGCUCCCUCGGUCUUUGAAUCAGCUGGUUAAAAACCAAGAGAUCUUUUGGGGUUUGUAGUAGUGUUAUUUACUAGAGUAGCCAUGGUCCUUCAGAAAUUAGAAGUGUUAGCAAAACAAAGUUGAACAACUGAAGCUAUUUCCCUUAGCAUUGUCUACGUCUACUUGACCUUUCAUGGAAAUCUAAUGUAAACAUCAUGCAACAUGCGAUUGUUCUAGAAACCGGCGAUUGUUCCGUAGAAAAGCACGUGGGUUGGUUCUAUUAUGUUCAUCGGAAAGUCUGUAUAGAGGAGUUUGGACCGAGAGAAUGACAUAGAUUUGCGUGACUUUCCCUGUCUUUCAAGGUAGGUGCCUCCACCCCUUCCAAAAGCCGGUUCACAAGAUGCGGAUCCAACUCCGUGAAUUAGUUUCUGUUGUUACUUGCAUCUUGCUUGCAUUUUUUUCCUUGCAUUUCCUGUUUUCCCUAUCAUCUGCUUUAUAGAAGUUGCUACAUCAAAUUAAGUAAGUACAUUCUCCUUUCUUGUACAAGUUUAUCCUAUUUCGUUCAUCAGAAGUCUGUACAAAUGAGAUGGGGCUAAGAAAGUGACGUAUAUUUGCUUGAGGUUUUGAAUUAUUUUCUGCUUUCUGGUUUGCAUGCCAUACUGUUUGAUUACCGAGGAAAAUUAGUGGUGAGCAUCUCGAUCAAAAAGCUCAUGCAUUUGCCGUAAUCCACGGUAGUUUAUUGCAAUCUGAUCUGCACGGUAGAAAACGCUCAUAUUUGAUUUUGUUCUGUGCUUGCCAACAGUAAUACCUUGGGAUAUGCUUUUAUCAUAAAUGUAAAGAUUAUUGGUGAUGCUUUGUUACAGGAUAUGUGCCCCGCGCGUUGCAGCGGGAUUUUGCAUGAAAUAAAAAUUGCAUUGAAGUAAUCGACCUAGCUAGUGUCUUUAUAGUUUCUGCUGUAGUAAGAUAAUCUGUUUAUCAGUAUUUUACAAAUAAAUAAAUAAAUGCAUGUAUCUACGUAUAAGUUCAAAUUUGGACGAAAACAAAAUAAAUAUGAAAGCACGCCUCACUUUUCUUUCAUAGAGCACUUGAGUAUGAAACGAACGCCUAUGAGUUGCAUGCAUGGGUCAGUUUUUUGUCUUGAUUAAAACACUCACAGCAGUCACUACAUGCAUUUGCAUGCAUGUGGCCGUUAGUAAAUGUGUUGUUUGUGCAUCAGCUCUAGUGUGUAGAUCGAAUGGAUAUUGUUGAUUGAUCUAGUAUAUCCAACGGCUAAAUUAAUUCGGGUGAUGUGGCUUAAGGAGAAGCAAGAGAAUUCCUAGUAGUGGGGGCUAGCUAUUUAGAUAUAGUAGAUGUGGAGAGGCUUUUUGCAAUGCAAUUCAAGGCAGAUCAUAGAUUACGUGGCUAAGCACCUCAAUUAUAUUGGUAAUUGUUCAUUGUUUUAUUUAGAUUAAAAUGGUUUAUGUAUUCUACCGAAACAGUCAAAUGCCAUGUUAAUUUCAGAACCAUUUCUAAUUUAGUGUUGUGCUUGCACGUAUUUAUGACUAAAAUAAAAUUUCAAACCAAAACCGAGCCACGGUUUGUAUUUAAGUGUUGGAUAAUGGAUGUUUCAAUCGCUAAAUUUAAACUAAGUCUUGUGAUUAAAUUGUGGCCUCUAAGAUUGUGUCAUGUAAUCGUAAGUCCAAUGAGCAAUCAAUUUUAUUUAAUUUGAAUUAAGACGGUGGGAUGCACAUUAUUUAUAAUCCUUAUAUAUAGACACAUUGCAACGCACAGGCUCUUUAUCAUUGCAACACGGUGGGAUGCACAUUAUUUGAAUUAAGACGAUUGUGUCUUGAUUUAUCGCAUUGCAACACAGGCUCUUUAUCAUGAAAUAUAUGUAGCCUACAAUAUUGUGAGUGUUAUCUCUCCUUCAAGAGAUGUAGCCUUCAAUACUUUACUAGACCUUCUGUAGACAAUAAAGGAUAGAGAGGACAUGUUCUUUUUAGUUUUGUUAGUGAGAAAUGGGAGUGACACACAUGGAGAGAUAGAACAGCCGUGAGACUUGUGUGUUGCUGCUUGAUCUGCUCGGUGAGUGAGGAGGUGAGAAACAGCGACAUGGAGCUACAUUGGGUUUGCAAUUUAGGGAAUAGGAACCAUCUGAUGUAUAUCUUAAAAUAAACCGGAAUCGUUAGAAUGACUUGAAAAUUAGAACUACCCUAUAGUUUGGGCCCUUUUAGAUUAUUACUGAUACACAACCUUUGUACCAAAAUUCUAUCUACAGUUACUAUAGUCCUUGACUGUGAAGCAGCAACGAUGUAUCUCAAACUUUGGUUAUUUGUGUAAUAAGUUGCUGAUGUUUUUUUUGUGAUGCAUGUAGCUUUCAGCUUGCCAGGCUUUCAAAUCUUCAAGUGCCCAACGCCCUAGGCUACUAUGGAAGUUGUGGAGGUUAUGUAGUUGUCGGUACUAGAAGCGCUCAUUCUGUAUGUAUAGCGAGGUCACUUUAUUUGUUCUGGGCUUAUUUCUGAAUAUGUUUAUGUGUUAAGAUCAUGGGCAUGUAUAGAUUAUAAAAUUAUUUUGUUUCUAAAGUGAAAUAUUUUCUAUCUAUUGAUAAUAAAUGUAGGUUGCCUGCUGUC